AGUUAUUGACAAAAACGGCGACUGUUUUUUCAGUAGAAAUUCGCAGUAGAUGUUAGGUGUCAAGUUAGACGCCACAUAUCCUGUGCUUCCUUUCAUUAAUCCUAACACAAAUAUACGUUCACACUCAACUUUAGUAAUCGUCGGCUGUGGAACAAACAGGAAUAUACAUUUUUGCACCAUUCUCCGACUAGUUAGCACGUCUGAGAGAUGAAUCAGGUGACACAGUUUGUAUACAGUUACACCAGAAACUUGUGCGAAGCUCAAACAGAAUGAAAACUAAUUUUUUGUCUCAACAAGAUUUCAUUUUAAUUAGGCAUCCAAUAAACUACUGGGUCUCACCGUGCUAGUUUAUUUUUAGGGUUAAGGGGCGACAGAGAGAAAAUUGGAGGUUUUCUCCAGAUCUAGCCAUAAGUAGUUAGCACUAAAGUCUAUCGAUAAAGUCGAAGUAUGAAUAAAAUAUCUAGAGCCUGCGUCUCUUAUUUUGAUACAAACUAAGCACGUGAUAAUAUAAAAUUAAUAAACUCAGUAAUCAACUACUCGCCAAAAAUGCAGACUGAGCAUGUGCGGACAUUACUGCAGAAAUCUCAGCAACUUAUCCCGCGAAAGAAGCUUGGGUUGAAUAAAUACAUGCAGUCUAGUGGAUAAUACACCAGACUUCUAUUAAGAAGACCCAGGAUUGAAUCCCACCCUCUAUAACCCUCUGAAGAAGGAAGCAGAUUAGUAGCUGAAACAACGAACUUAAUCUUCCCAGAUGGCGUUUAUAUUGCUACGACAGCGGAAGUCACGCGACGCUGGGAGCAUGUGAGCUGGAGUUUCUA
Limulus polyphemus (Atlantic horseshoe crab) is the source of this 818-nucleotide long non-coding RNA. RefSeq lists it as uncharacterized. The record is from RefSeq and is a predicted model, not a curated record. The transcript has 3 exons. NCBI's taxonomy places the organism in Eukaryota, Metazoa, Arthropoda, Merostomata, Xiphosura, Limulidae.